GAUGAAGAACGUAGCGAAAUGCGAUAAGUAAUGCGAAUUGCAGAAUCCGUGAGUCAUCGAAUCUUUGAACGCACAUUGCGCCCUUUGGUAUUCCGAAGGGCAUGCCUGUUCGAGCGUCAUUAUCACCCCUCAAGCCCGGCUUGGUGUUGGACGUCUAGCCAGUCUCUUAGGAGCCGGCUCGCCCCAAAGAUAAUGACGGUGGUCUGUGAAGUCACCAGUACGACGAGCCCCUGGGCAUGUACUGUUCUCGAGUUCCAGCGCCGGUCUCGCUCACGACGUGAGCACUUUUUUUCUGAAAGGUUGACCUCGGAUCAGGUAGGGAUACCCGCUGAACUUAAGCAUAUCAAUAAGCGGAGGA
This 358-nucleotide unclassified non-coding RNA is filed under the name soil metagenome. RNAcentral describes it as "partial contains 5.8S ribosomal RNA, internal transcribed spacer 2, and large subunit ribosomal RNA". The stretch from base 1 to 119 matches the Rfam family "5.8S ribosomal RNA", at positions 35 to 154 of the family's 154-position model. The record is from RNAcentral.